This 308-nucleotide ribosomal RNA is filed under the name uncultured soil bacterium. RNAcentral describes it as "bacterial SSU rRNA". It matches the Rfam family "Bacterial small subunit ribosomal RNA", at positions 27 to 335 of the family's 1533-position model. The record is from RNAcentral.
GGAUUGAACGCUGGCGGCAGGCCUAACACAUGCAAGUCGAGCGGUAGAGAGGUGCUUGCAUCUCUUGAGAGCGGCGGACGGGUGAGUAAUGCCUAGGAAUCUGCCUAGUGGUGGGGGGUAACGUUCGGAAACGGACGCUAAUACCGCAUACGUCCUACGGGAGAAAGCGGGGGACCUUCGGGCCUCGCGCCAUUAGAUGAGCCGUAGGUCGGAUUAGCUAGUUGGUGAGGUAAUGGCUCACCAAGGCGACGAUCCGUAACUGGUCUGAGAGGAUGAUCAGUCACACUGGAACUGGGACACGGUCCAGA